This 253-nucleotide ribosomal RNA is filed under the name uncultured bacterium. Its description in RNAcentral is "partial 16S ribosomal RNA". It matches the Rfam family "Bacterial small subunit ribosomal RNA", at positions 524 to 776 of the family's 1533-position model. The record is from RNAcentral.
UACGGAGGGGGCUAGCGUUGUUCGGAAUUACUGGGCGUAAAGCGCACGUAGGCGGCUUUGCAAGUUAGAGGUGAAAUCCCGGGGCUCAACUCCGGAAUUGCCUUUAAGACUGCAUCGCUUGAACGUCGGAGAGGUAAGUGGAAUUCCGAGUGUAGAGGUGAAAUUCGUAGAUAUUCGGAAGAACACCAGUGGCGAAGGCGACUUACUGGACGAUUGUUGACGCUGAGGUGCGAAAGCGUGGGGAGCAAACAGG